UCCGGUAGUAGCGGCGAGCGAACCUGGAUUAGCCCUUAAGCACUCGGUGAAGUAGGUGAACAAGCUGGAAAGCUUGGCGAUACAGGGUGAUAGCCCCGUAACCGACGCUUCAUCGAGCGUGAAAUCGAGUAGGGCGGGACACGUGAUAUCCUGUCUGAAUAUGGGGGGACCAUCCUCCAAGGCUAAAUACUCCUGACUGACCGAUAG
Molecule: ribosomal RNA, 207 nt
Filed under: Vibrio cholerae
Lineage: Bacteria; Pseudomonadati; Pseudomonadota; Gammaproteobacteria; Vibrionales; Vibrionaceae
Description: partial 23S ribosomal RNA
Rfam family: Bacterial large subunit ribosomal RNA
Source: RNAcentral